Molecule: microRNA, 23 nt
Filed under: Cordylochernes scorpioides
Lineage: Eukaryota; Metazoa; Arthropoda; Arachnida; Pseudoscorpiones; Chernetidae
Source: RNAcentral
GGGCCCAACGUUGUUGAAACGUU